This 253-nucleotide ribosomal RNA is filed under the name uncultured bacterium. RNAcentral's name for it is "partial 16S ribosomal RNA". It matches the Rfam family "Bacterial small subunit ribosomal RNA", at positions 524 to 776 of the family's 1533-position model. The record is from RNAcentral.
CACGUAGGGGGCGAGCGUUGUCCGGAUUUAUUGGGCGUAAAGAGCUCGUAGGCGGUUCGUCGCGUCGGCUGUGAAAACCCGGAGCUCAACUCCGGGCCUGCAGUCGAUACGGGCGGACUUGAGUUCGGCAGGGGAGACUGGAAUUCCUGGUGUAGCGGUGAAAUGCGCAGAUAUCAGGAGGAACACCGGUGGCGAAGGCGGGUCUCUGGGCCGAUACUGACGCUGAGGAGCGAAAGCGUGGGGAGCGAACAGG